This 422-nucleotide unclassified non-coding RNA is filed under the name fungal sp. RNAcentral's name for it is "partial internal transcribed spacer region". The stretch from base 1 to 46 matches the Rfam family "Eukaryotic small subunit ribosomal RNA", at positions 1786 to 1831 of the family's 1831-position model. Lineage: Eukaryota; Fungi. The record is from RNAcentral.
AAGUCGUAACAAGGUCUCCGUAGGUGAACCUGCGGAGGGAUCAUUAACACUAUUUGGCUAGUAUCACUGAGUAUUUCGAAAGAGAGAAAACGUGAUGUUAGUUCAGAUUUUCACACACCUGUCGAACUCGGUUACCUUUUGUGUAACCAAUCCCCGCCGCUGUUUCUUCUAAGUAGGUUGUUGUAGUGACGAAGUGAGCCCCUCAUACUAGUUAUGGGAAUGGCGACUGGGCAACUUUGCUUUGAAACGGUAAGUAGAAAUUUUUGGUGACGUUACACUUCAAAACGUCUCGUCCCCCUUUUGCCACUUUUUCACCCGAAUUAAGCCAUAUAGACUGAUUUAACGAAGUAUAUCGAAAGGUGUAUCUUCGUCAUAGAUAUAAAAACUAAGCACAACUCUUAGCAACGGAUAUCUUGGUUCUC